ACUCCUGCGGGAGGCAGCAGUGGGGAAUAUUGCACAAUGGGCGCAAGCCUGAUGCAGCCAUGCCGCGUGUAUGAAGAAGGCCUUCGGGUUGUAAAGUACUUUCAGCGGGGAGGAAGGCGAUAAGGUUAAUAACCUUGUCGAUUGACGUUACCCGCAGAAGAAGCACCGGCUAACUCCGUGCCAGCAGCCGCGGUAAUACGGAGGGUGCAAGCGUUAAUCGGAAUUACUGGGCGUAAAGCGCACGCAGGCGGUCUGUCAAGUCGGAUGUGAAAUCCCCGGGCUCAACCUGGGAACUGCAUUCGAAACUGGCAGGCUAGAGUCUUGUAGAGGGGGGUAGAAUUCCAGGUGUAGCGGUGAAAUGCGUAGAGAUCUGGAGGAAUACCGGUGGCGAAGGCGGCCCCCUGGACAAAGACUGACGCUCAGGUGCGAAAGCGUGGGGAGCAAACAGGAUUAGAUACCCCAGUAGUCC
This 469-nucleotide ribosomal RNA is filed under the name uncultured organism. RNAcentral describes it as "partial 16S ribosomal RNA". It matches the Rfam family "Bacterial small subunit ribosomal RNA", at positions 335 to 796 of the family's 1533-position model. The record is from RNAcentral.